UACGUAGGGGGCAAGCGUUGUUCGGAAUUACUGGGCGUAAAGAGUGCGUAGGCGGUUUUCUAAGUUUGGUGUGAAAUCUCCCGGCUCAACUGGGAGGGUGCGCCGAAGACUGGAAGGCUUGAGUAUGGGAGAGGUAAGCGGAAUUCCUGGUGUAGCGGUGAAAUGCGUAGAUAUCAGGAGGAACACCUGCGGUGUAGACGGCUUACUGGACCAUAACUGACGCUGAGGCACGAAAGCGUGGGUAGCAAACAGG
Molecule: ribosomal RNA, 253 nt
Filed under: uncultured bacterium
Lineage: Bacteria
Description: partial 16S ribosomal RNA
Rfam family: Bacterial small subunit ribosomal RNA
Source: RNAcentral